CGGGAUACCAUUCCGUCACCUUAUUGUAAAGUAUAAACCAUCCCGCCACCUUUUUAUAAAUCUUUAUGUAUAACAAUGGUAAGGCAGGAUGGUAUUUUUAAUUUACCGAAUACCAUCCCGUUACUUUUUUUUCUCCACUUCGAGCGCUGUAUACAUAUAUAUAUAUAUAUAUAUAUAUAUAUAUAUAUAUAUAUAUAUAUAUAUAUAUAUAUAUAUACAUAUAUAUAGGGAAGAUGGGAGGGGGUCAAUAUAAGUUGACGUCAAUAAUGUUACUUUUUUAAAAAAUUUAAUUACUUAAAGAAGAAAAGUUAGGCAGCGUUUGCAGUCCAGUGUUAUAUACUUGUCCUAUUUUUUAAAAAAUCAUUUGCUUUAAAAAGACCAGAAACAUACAGACUGAACAGAACCAUGUUGGGCUUUAAAAAGACCAGGCACACCAGACAGAACUAAAUAAGCACACAAGAAAUGUUUACUCGUAACACUAGCCUGUUGUUGGUGAGGUGUGUUGCUACAUUGACUGAGGGUUUGGCAUGGAUCAACUAUCUUUACUUUCAUUCUUCAAUUUCUAAAAAAGCCGUAAGCUAUCAAGAUAAGCAAAACAAAACAAUUAUGACUUUAUAGACAAUGUCGCACAAAAACUUUUUUUAGCGCUGUUGAGAAGAACAAGAACAUUUGGGCCAAACAUCUGAUGAUAAUUCAGCAGUCGCAUAAAAGAAGGGACAUUGUGCAUUUACAAGAAUUUUCACUCAAAGAAAAAUGCAGAAAACCACACAAAAGCCAACUACUUGGGCAAUACCAUUUUUUUGAAAAUCAAAAGAUGAAAAAAUUUCCUAACAAACCAUCUACACCAGUAUCAUACAUCUCUCAUCUAAUGAUAUUGAUAAGUGGUCGUGGAAACAUCUAAUGAUAUUGAUAAGAGGUCGUAAGGAAAGUGAAUAAAAAAUUAAUAAUGAUGAUAAAUAUACUUGCCCACCAGAAAAGAAACAUAACAAGAGCAGAGUAAUCACAGAGUUCUUCAGUAUUACUUGUAUCUGAUCUCAGCUAGAAAUAAAAAAUAUUAAAUAAAAAUACCUUGCGGUAGUUCUGCUGUACAAGAGGAUUUGGCUUCCUUAGGGGUUGUCAACAACUGACGUAAAGCGAUAGGGAGGCAGAGGGUUAAUAGUUUUGUAAUUAGUAACUGUUAUGUUUCCAAAAAGUAAGCAAAACAAAAUCAGCAACAGUAUCUUCAUUUUGAUGAAAGCACCUUAAUGAAAACGAAUAUGAGGUUGUAGUAUUGAAAAAAGAAAAAACGUGAAAUUAGCUGCAUGGUGCAGCUUGACACAACCAGUUUUAACACUGCUAAGAAGAAUGGUGUUGUUGUAAGACUUGAGCGAAAUUUUUUAGCGAGGGGUUUGACAAGCCGUUGUUUAUUUCUUGACAGCAUCACGUGCAUGAUAGGAUUCUGCGUGUGGUGAUGAAUAAGGGAAUUGGAGGAAGCACUAAGUCUCAAAACAUUGAGUAUCCUUUUGUACCUCAAUUGGUGAACAGUUAUAAGGAGUUGCAAUCAAAUUUUGUGAAUGGAACAGAAGUGAUAAGUCAGGCAAGAAAGAUGACAUAAAGUUCUUGCAUCAUCUGACACACACACACAAACAGAUAUAUAUAUAUAGAUAUAUCUGUUUGUGUGUGUCAGAUGACGCAAGAAUUUUAUGUCAUCUUUCUUGCCUGACUUAUCGAUUAUCACUUCUGUGAUAUAUAUAUACACACAACCUGAAUAUAGUAAUUUCUUUUUUCUAAAAUUUAUUAUUUAUUUUAUUAUUUAAUAAAAAGAUUGCUUGGUCUAGCCAAAACUCAUUAUGUUAUUCAUUAUGUUAAUGACAGUUUUAUUAAGUUAUUUGUUUCUGGAAUAUGUAUGAGCUUAAAUUUUGAAAGGAAUUUCAAAGCACAUUUCUAAA
Long non-coding RNA from Hydra vulgaris (swiftwater hydra), 1928 nucleotides. RefSeq lists it as uncharacterized. The record is from RefSeq and is a predicted model, not a curated record. Lineage: Eukaryota; Metazoa; Cnidaria; Hydrozoa; Anthoathecata; Hydridae.